This 24-nucleotide non-coding RNA is filed under the name Arabidopsis thaliana (thale cress). Lineage: Eukaryota; Viridiplantae; Streptophyta; Magnoliopsida; Brassicales; Brassicaceae. The record is from RNAcentral.
AGCUGUGUUGAGGUCGAGUGUAUU